RNAcentral lists this ribosomal RNA (468 nucleotides) under uncultured bacterium. RNAcentral describes it as "partial 16S ribosomal RNA". It matches the Rfam family "Bacterial small subunit ribosomal RNA", at positions 28 to 507 of the family's 1533-position model. The record is from RNAcentral.
GACGAACGCUGGCGGCGUGCUUAACACAUGCAAGUCGAACGGAAAGGCCCUGCUUUUGUGGGGUGCUCGAGUGGCGAACGGGUGAGUAACACGUGAGUAACCUGCCCUUGACUUUGGGAUAACUUCAGGAAACUGGGGCUAAUACCGGAUAGGAGCUCCUGCUGCAUGGUGGGGGUUGGAAAGUUUCGGCGGUUGGGGAUGGACUCGCGGCUUAUCCGCUUGUUGGUGAGGUAGUGGCUUACCAAGGCUUUGACGGGUAGCCGGCCUGAGAGGGUGACCGGCCACAUUGGGACUGAGAUACGGCCCAGACUCCUACGGGAGGCAGCAGUGGGGAAUAUUGCACAAUGGGCGGAAGCCUGAUGCAGCAACGCCGCGUGCGGGAUGACGGCCUUCGGGUUGUAAACCGCUUUCGCCUGUGACGAAGCGUGAGUGACGGUAAUGGGUAAAGAAGCACCGGCUAACUACGUG